This 2907-nucleotide ribosomal RNA is filed under the name Escherichia coli EPEC 32/73. RNAcentral describes it as "bacterial LSU rRNA". It matches the Rfam family "Bacterial large subunit ribosomal RNA". The record is from RNAcentral. Lineage: Bacteria; Pseudomonadati; Pseudomonadota; Gammaproteobacteria; Enterobacterales; Enterobacteriaceae.
UUAAGCGACUAAGCGUACACGGUGGAUGCCCUGGCAGUCAGAGGCGAUGAAGGACGUGCUAAUCUGCGAUAAGCGUCGGUAAGGUGAUAUGAACCGUUAUAACCGGCGAUUUCCGAAUGGGGAAACCCAGUGUGAUUCGUCACACUAUCAUUAACUGAAUCCAUAGGUUAAUGAGGCGAACCGGGGGAACGUGAAACAUCUAAGUACCCCGAGGAAAAGAAAUCAACCGAGAUUCCCCCAGUAGCGGCGAGCGAACGGGGAGCAGCCCAGAGCCUGAAUCAGUGUGUGUGUUAGUGGAAGCGUCUGGAAAGGCGCGCGAUACAGGGUGACAGCCCCGUACACAAAAAUGCACAUGCUGUGAGCUCGAUGAGUAGGGCGGGACACGUGGUAUCCUGUCUGAAUAUGGGGGGGCCAUCCUCCAAGGCUAAAUACUCCUGACUGACCGAUAGUGAACCAGUACCGUGAGGGAAAGGCGAAAAGAACCCCGGCGAGGGGAGUGAAAAAGAACCUGAAACCGUGUACGUACAAGCAGUGGGAGCACAGAGCAAUCUGUGUGACUGCGUACCUUUUGUAUAAUGGGUCAGCGACUUAUAUUCUGUAGCAAGGUUAACCGAAUAGGGGAGCCGAAGGGAAACCGAGUCUUAACUGGGCGUUAAGUUGCAGGGUAUAGACCCGAAACCCGGUGAUCUAGCCAUGGGCAGGUUGAAGGUUGGGUAACACUAACUGGAGGACCGAACCGACUAAUGUUGAAAAAUUAGCGGAUGACUUGUGGCUGGGGGUGAAAGGCCAAUCAAACCGGGAGAUAGCUGGUUCUCCCCGAAAGCUAUUUAGGUAGCGCCUCGUGAAUUCAUCUCCGGGGGUAGAGCACUGUUUCGGCAAGGGGGUCGAUCCCGACUUACCAACCCGAUGCAAACUGCGAAUACCGGAGAAUGUUAUCACGGGAGACACACGGCGGGUGCUAACGUCCGUCGUGAAGAGGGAAACAACCCAGACCGCCAGCUAAGGUCCCAAAGUCAUGGUUAAGUGGGAAACGAUGUGGGAAGGCCCAGACAGCCAGGAUGUUGGCUUAGAAGCAGCCAUCAUUUAAAGAAAGCGUAAUAGCUCACUGGUCGAGUCGGCCUGCGCGGAAGAUGUAACGGGGCUAAACCAUGCACCGAAGCUGCGGCAGCGACGCUGAUGCGUUGUUGGGUAGGGGAGCGUUCUGUAAGCCUGCGAAGGUGUGCUGUGAGGCAUGCUGGAGGUAUCAGAAGUGCGAAUGCUGACAUAAGUAACGAUAAAGCGGGGUGAAAAGCCCGCUCGCCGGAAGACCAAGGGUUCCUGUCCAACGUUAAUCGGGGCAGGGUGAGUCGACCCCUAAGGCGAGGCCGAAAGGCGUAGUCGAUGGGAAACAGGUUAAUAUUCCUGUACUUGGUGUUACUGCGAAGGGGGGACGGAGAAGGCUAUGUUGGCCGGGCGACGGUUGUCCCGGUUUAAGCGUGUAGGCUGGUUUUCCAGGCAAAUCCGGAAAAUCAAGGCUGAGGCGUGAUGACGAGGCACUACGGUGCUGAAGCAACAAAUGCCCUGCUUCCAGGAAAAGCCUCUAAGCAUCAGGUAACAUCAAAUCGUACCCCAAACCGACACAGGUGGUCAGGUAGAGAAUACCAAGGCGCUUGAGAGAACUCGGGUGAAGGAACUAGGCAAAAUGGUGCCGUAACUUCGGGAGAAGGCACGCUGAUAUGUAGGUGAAGUCCCUCGCGGAUGGAGCUGAAAUCAGUCGAAGAUACCAGCUGGCUGCAACUGUUUAUUAAAAACACAGCACUGUGCAAACACGAAAGUGGACGUAUACGGUGUGACGCCUGCCCGGUGCCGGAAGGUUAAUUGAUGGGGUCAGCGCAAGCGAAGCUCUUGAUCGAAGCCCCGGUAAACGGCGGCCGUAACUAUAACGGUCCUAAGGUAGCGAAAUUCCUUGUCGGGUAAGUUCCGACCUGCACGAAUGGCGUAAUGAUGGCCAGGCUGUCUCCACCCGAGACUCAGUGAAAUUGAACUCGCUGUGAAGAUGCAGUGUACCCGCGGCAAGACGGAAAGACCCCGUGAACCUUUACUAUAGCUUGACACUGAACAUUGAGCCUUGAUGUGUAGGAUAGGUGGGAGGCUUUGAAGUGUGGACGCCAGUCUGCAUGGAGCCGGCCUUGAAAUACCACCCUUUAAUGUUUGAUGUUCUAACGUUGACCCGUGAUCCGGGUUGCGGACAGUGUCUGGUGGGUAGUUUGACUGGGGCGGUCUCCUCCUAAAGAGUAACGGAGGAGCACGAAGGUUGGCUAAUCCUGGUCGGACAUCAGGAGGUUAGUGCAAUGGCAUAAGCCAGCUUGACUGCGAGCGUGACGGCGCGAGCAGGUGCGAAAGCAGGUCAUAGUGAUCCGGUGGUUCUGAAUGGAAGGGCCAUCGCUCAACGGAUAAAAGGUACUCCGGGGAUAACAGGCUGAUACCGCCCAAGAGUUCAUAUCGACGGCGGUGUUUGGCACCUCGAUGUCGGCUCAUCACAUCCUGGGGCUGAAGUAGGUCCCAAGGGUAUGGCUGUUCGCCAUUUAAAGUGGUACGCGAGCUGGGUUUAGAACGUCGUGAGACAGUUCGGUCCCUAUCUGCCGUGGGCGCUGGAGAACUGAGGGGGGCUGCUCCUAGUACGAGAGGACCGGAGUGGACGCAUCACUGGUGUUCGGGUUGUCAUGCCAAUGGCACUGCCCGGUAGCUAAAUGCGGAAGAGAUAAGUGCUGAAAGCAUCUAAGCACGAAACUUGCCCCGAGAUGAGUUCUCCCUGACUCCUUGAGAGUCCUGAAGGAACGUUGAAGACGACGACGUUGAUAGGCCGGGUGUGUAAGCGCAGCGAUGCGUUGAGCUAACCGGUACUAAUGAACCGUGAGGCUUAACCUU